This 626-nucleotide long non-coding RNA is filed under the name Felis catus (domestic cat). RNAcentral's name for it is "lncRNA (ENSFCAG00000045200.2)". Lineage: Eukaryota; Metazoa; Chordata; Mammalia; Carnivora; Felidae. The record is from RNAcentral.
GGCGCUCGCGGGUCUGGCCGGCCGCGCUCCGCCCCAGGCCCCUCCGCGCAGGCGCUGCCAGCCGCGGUUCCCAUGGCGACGGGGGACGCUUCCCCGCGCGAGGCCCCGCCCCCAGCAGGCCAGGCUGCGCGGGGCCGCUGCGGCGCCGGCAGGUGCCGCGGGCUGCGGGCAGGUGGCGGCGCGGCGCGGGCAGGCGGCGGCGGCUGCAGGGUAGGUUGUGCGGCGGCCGCCGGCGGUGGGGGCGGGCUGUCUGCCCCCAGUCCCCCGCCCGCGGAGGGGCUGGGAGGCGGCGGUGGGCGAUGGCCGCCAAGUUUCUGCUCGGCUGAGGCCCCGGGAGAAAAGUUGGCAAAGUUGGCCCGGUGGCUCUCCCGUGGACCUUAGCAGCCCCCUGAAGACACCGCCCAGCCUUGUCACCAGCCACAGGAGUGGCUUCCUUUCUCUGGCCUCAGUGUCUACACCUGUGAAACGGGAUGCCGACACCUUCCUCCCAGCUUGGCCGGGAGCUCUGAACGAGGUCACUCGUGUGAACGUGGGGUGAACGUGGGGUGGAAGGUGAGUCAGUGUCCAUCCUGUCGGGUGAAUGGUGAUGUUAGGUAAAGCCCCCACUGUGUGCAUGUGUCUCUCUG